RNAcentral lists this unclassified non-coding RNA (614 nucleotides) under Hevea brasiliensis (rubber tree). Lineage: Eukaryota; Viridiplantae; Streptophyta; Magnoliopsida; Malpighiales; Euphorbiaceae. The record is from RNAcentral.
GUGAUGGCAAAGUAGGUUAUUUAGAGUACGCGACAGAAAUGACUGUAGAGUGCGAUGAUGCUUGUGCAGAUGAUGAAGCUACACUGGCUAGGAUGAACAGCUUUCUUAAUGAUGCACUACAUGCUUCAUGUGAAGGGAUCAUGGUGAAGUCCCUUGAUGAAGAUGCUGGGUACACACCCUCAAAGCGCUCUGAUGCAUGGUUAAAGGUCAAGAGAGACUAUGUUGAAGGAUUAAAUGAUUCCCUGGACUUGGUUCCAAUUGGUGCAUGGCAUGGGAAUGGAAGAAAAGCAGGAUGGUAUAGUCCUUUCCUUAUGGCCUGCUACAACCCUGACACGGAGGAAUUUCAGAGUGUCUGCCGGGUCAUGUCUGGGUUUUCUGAUUCCUUCUAUGUAGAGAUGAGAGACUUCUUCGAUGCGGACAAGAUCUGCCAGAAAAAGCCACCCUACUACCGAAGUGAAGAGGUUCCGGAUAUGUGGUUUUCUCCAGAAGUUGUGUGGGUGAUAAGGGGUGCUGACUUCACAGUGUCACCAGUGCAUCACGCAGCUAUUGGUUUAGUCCAUCCAUCUCGUGGUAUUUCUGUCAGAUUUCCCAGGUUCAUCCGGUGUUUGUCAGAU